Long non-coding RNA from Portunus trituberculatus (swimming crab), 818 nucleotides. RefSeq lists it as uncharacterized. NCBI's taxonomy places the organism in Eukaryota, Metazoa, Arthropoda, Malacostraca, Decapoda, Portunidae. The transcript has 2 exons. The record is from RefSeq and is a predicted model, not a curated record.
CUGAGUUUUGGUAAUGUCGACAUUUUAAAGCUCCUCCCCACGGCUGCUUGUAUCUUCAAAUAGAUUAAAACCAUAAAAACAUUGAGUAUUCCACACAUAAUUCCUAGAUAACUUUCAAAUACUGAGAAUUUAACACAAGCAAGGACAUAGUAUUGGAAUUUAUUGUGUUGUGAAUGCUGAGUUUAGUAAUGUCGACAUUUUGAAGCUCCCCACGGCAACUUGUAUCCUUAAAUAAACUAAAACCAUAAUAACACUAAAUAUUUCACACAUAAUUCCGUGAUACUUUUCCAACACUGAGAAUUUAACACAUACAAGGACAUAGUAUUGGAAUUUAUAGCGGGCAAGGAGAAGAGAGUGAAUUCCUUGAGAGAGCCACAGUUGAUGAUGGCGUCGGUACCUGCCGCCAAGAGACACGGUUGACCUAACUGGAGUGCCGUUAUAUUUUCAGCCUGUAUAGAGGUGACAGUGCCGUGACAGAGGUGGUGGAGGUUAUUAAUGCACCAAGGAACAGGUGUGUAAGGUGUGGCAGUGGUGUUGAUAAGGGAUUAGUGUGUAAGGAAGGAAAGAAUUGUGGUGGGCCGAGUGCACAACAAACAGUGGUGAUGGCCGUGUGGUGUUGCUUAUACACCCCAUAAACACCCCGCAACACAUCCACAACAUGCCCAUUUACACCCAAACACACAAAGUGAAGUGAUGACAUUCCCGACAGCACCAGCGGCAAGACAAGAGACCAAUGCAACUCUUCACCACGACUCUCCACAACGCCUCACCAUCAUUUAUUUCAGGCUCAGGCGUGUAGAUGGGAGCAGUAGAAGAAA